Molecule: ribosomal RNA, 253 nt
Filed under: uncultured bacterium
Lineage: Bacteria
Description: partial 16S ribosomal RNA
Rfam family: Bacterial small subunit ribosomal RNA
Source: RNAcentral
UACAGAGGGGGCAAGCGUUGUCCGGAAUUACUGGGCGUAAAGCGUGCGCAGGCGGUUUUGUAAGUUUGUCGUGAAAGCCCCGGGCUCAACCUGGGAAUUGCGAUGAAGACUGCAAGGCUUGAAUCUGGCAGAGGGGGGUAGAAUUCCACGUGUAGCAGUGAAAUGCGUAGAGAUGUGGAGGAACACCGAUGGCGAAGGCAGCCCCCUGGGUCAAGAUUGACGCUCAUGCACGAAAGCGUGGAGAGCAAACAGG